AUCUAACUGACCAGUCCCAAAUAGGACGAAACACGUAUUAUGGAU
Non-coding RNA from Schistosoma curassoni, 45 nucleotides. NCBI's taxonomy places the organism in Eukaryota, Metazoa, Platyhelminthes, Trematoda, Strigeidida, Schistosomatidae. The record is from Rfam.